This 544-nucleotide ribosomal RNA is filed under the name Penicillium crustosum. RNAcentral describes it as "eukaryotic LSU rRNA". The stretch from base 177 to 329 matches the Rfam family "5.8S ribosomal RNA". Lineage: Eukaryota; Fungi; Ascomycota; Eurotiomycetes; Eurotiales; Aspergillaceae. The record is from RNAcentral.
GGCUCUAGCGGAGCCUCUGGGUCCACCUCCCACCCGUGUUUAUUUUACCUUGUUGCUUCGGCGGGCCCGCCUUAACUGGCCGCCGGGGGGCUUACGCCCCCGGGCCCGCGCCCGCCGAAGACACCCUCGAACUCUGUCUGAAGAUUGAAGUCUGAGUGAAAAUAUAAAUUAUUUAAAACUUUCAACAACGGAUCUCUUGGUUCCGGCAUCGAUGAAGAACGCAGCGAAAUGCGAUACGUAAUGUGAAUUGCAAAUUCAGUGAAUCAUCGAGUCUUUGAACGCACAUUGCGCCCCCUGGUAUUCCGGGGGGCAUGCCUGUCCGAGCGUCAUUGCUGCCCUCAAGCCCGGCUUGUGUGUUGGGCCCCGUCCCCCGAUCUCCGGGGGACGGGCCCGAAAGGCAGCGGCGGCACCGCGUCCGGUCCUCGAGCGUAUGGGGCUUUGUCACCCGCUCUGUAGGCCCGGCCGGCGCUUGCCGAUCAACCCAAAUUUUUAUCCAGGUUGACCUCGGAUCAGGUAGGGAUACCCGCUGAACUUAAGCAUAUCA